RNAcentral lists this ribosomal RNA (497 nucleotides) under Ischnocnema vizottoi. Its description in RNAcentral is "partial 16S ribosomal RNA". It matches the Rfam family "Bacterial large subunit ribosomal RNA", at positions 1922 to 2596 of the family's 2925-position model. The record is from RNAcentral. Lineage: Eukaryota; Metazoa; Chordata; Amphibia; Anura; Brachycephalidae.
GUUAAACGGCCGCGGUAUCCUGACCGUGCGAAGGUAGCGUAAUCACUUGUUUUUUAAAUAAAGACUAGUAUGAAAGGCAUCACGAGGAUCAAACUGUCUCCUUUUUUUAAUCCGUGAAACUAAUCUUCCCGUGAAGAAGCGGGAAUUUUCAUAUAAGACGAGAAGACCCUGUGGAGCUUUAAGGCAAAAUAAUUACUACCCCCUCGAUAUGCACGAGACCACCUUAAUUAUCUACCUUAGGUUGGGGCGACCGCGGAGUAAAAUUUACCCUCCGCGCAUAAGGGAGAUUUCCCCGCAAAGAGCUACAGCUCACGCAUUAAUAAAUUAACGCAAUUGACCCAAUUACUUGAGCAACGAAACAAGUUACCCCAGGGAUAACAGCGCAAUCCACCUCGAGAGCCCAUAUCGACAGGUGGGUUUACGACCUCGAUGUUGGAUCAGGGUAUCCCAGUGGUGCAGCCGCUACUAAAGGUUCGUUUGUUCAACGAUUAAAACCC